Molecule: long non-coding RNA, 447 nt
Organism: Eriocheir sinensis (Chinese mitten crab)
Lineage: Eukaryota; Metazoa; Arthropoda; Malacostraca; Decapoda; Varunidae
Exons: 3
Source: RefSeq, a predicted model, not a curated record
AGCACACUAACACCAGACAGAGAACCAGGUGGAGAGAUGGAAUUAUAACCUUUGCCGGGGCAGGAUGGAGCACACUAACACCAGACAGAGAACCAGGUGGAGAGGUGGAAUUAUAACCUUUGCCGGGGCAGGAUGGAGCACACUAACACCAGACAGAGAACCAGGUGGAGAGAUGGAAUUAUAACCUUUGCCGGGGCAGGAUGGAGCACACUAACACCAGACAGAGAACCAGGUGGAGAGAUGGAAUUAUAACCUUUGCCGGGGCAGGAUGGAGCACACUAACACCAGACAGAGAACCAGGUGGAGAGAUGGAAUUAUAACUUUUGUUGGGGCAGGAUGGAGCACACUAACACCAGACAGAGAACCAAGUGGAGAGAUGGAAUUAUAACUUUUGUUGGGGCAGGAUGGAGCACACUAACACCAGACAGAGAACCAAGUGGAGAGAUG